GACGAACGCUGGCGGCGUGCUUAACACAUGCAAGUCGAACGGAAAGGCCCUGCUUUUGUGGGGUGCUCGAGUGGCGAACGGGUGAGUAACACGUGAGUAACCUGCCCUUGACUUUGGGAUAACUUCAGGAAACUGGGGCUAAUACCGGAUAGGAGCUCCUGCUGCAUGGUGGGGGUUGGAAAGUUUCGGCGGUUGGGGAUGGACUCGCGGCUUAUCAGCUUGUUGGUGGGGUAGUGGCUUACCAAGGCUUUGACGGGUAGCCGGCCUGAGAGGGUGACCGGCCACAUUGGGACUGAGAUACGGCCCAGACUCCUACGGGAGGCAGCAGUGGGGAAUAUUGCACAAUGGGCGGAAGCCUGGUGCAGCAACGCCGCGUGCGGGAUGACGGCCUUCGGGUUGUAAACCGCUUUCGCCUGUGACGAAGCGUGAGUGACGGUAAUGGGUAAAGAAGCACCGGCUAACUACGUGCCAGCAGCCGCGGUGAUACGUAGGGUGCGAGCGUUGUCCGGAUUUAUUGGGCGUAAAGGGCUCGUAGGUGGUUGAUCGCGUCGGAAGUGUAAUCUUGGGGCUUAACCCUGAGCGUGCUUUCGAUACGGGUUGACUUGAGGAAGGUAGGGGAGAAUGGAAUUCCUGGUGGAGCGGUGGAAUGCGCAGAUAUCAGGAGGAACACCAGUGGCGAAGGCGGUUCUCUGGGCCUUUCCUGACGCUGAGGAGCGAAAGCGUGGGGAGCGAACAGGCUUAGAUACCCUGGUAGUCCACGCUGUAAACGGUGGGUACUAGGUGUGGGGUCCAUUCCACGGGUUCCGUGCCGUAGCUAACGCUUUAAGUACCCCGCCUGGGGAGUACGGCCGCAAGACUAAAACUCAAAGGAAUUGACGGGGCCCCGCACAAGCGGCGGAGCAUGCGGAUUAAUUCGAUGCAACGCGUAGAACCUUACCUGGGUUUGACAUGGAUCGGGAGUGCUCAGAGAUGGGUGUGCCUCUUUUGGGGUCGGUUCACAGGUGGUGCAUGGCUGUCGUCAGCUCGUGUCGUGAGAUGUUGGGUUAAGUCCCGCAACGAGCGCAACCCUUGUUCACUGUUGCCAGCACGUUAUGGUGGGGACUCAGUGGAGACCGCCGGGGUCAACUCGGAGGAAGGUGGGGAUGACGUCAAGUCAUCAUGCCCCUUAUGUCCAGGGCUUCACGCAUGCUACAAUGGCUGGUACAGAGAGUGGCGAGCCUGUGAGGGUGAGCGAAUCUCGGAAAGCCGGUCUCAGUUCGGAUUGGGGUCUGCAACUCGACCUCAUGAAGUCGGAGUCGCUAGUAAUCGCAGAUCAGCAACGCUGCGGUGAAUACGUUCCCGGG
Molecule: ribosomal RNA, 1343 nt
Filed under: uncultured bacterium
Lineage: Bacteria
Description: 16S ribosomal RNA
Rfam family: Bacterial small subunit ribosomal RNA
Source: RNAcentral